AAGCAGACGAAACGCGAGAGCAGAGUCGAGCGGUGCCAGCCCCGAUCCCCCAGCGCCCCGGAGAGGAGAACCCCGAUCCCCAGCGCUGAGCCCUGUCUCGCUGGAGACCAGAGUCCUGUGGCCCCAGUGACCUGACGCCGGUCCCCAUCCAGCUAGAGGCAGCGGCGGGAACCAUGACCAUCCUCCUGGGACUCUCAGCUCCAGUCCUCAUGGCUGCUUGCCUCCUGAUCCUGUGCCCAGAGGGGGCUCCGACGAGCAUGGGAGGCUCCCUACCCCUUCCCCCGAAGGGCCAGAGCCACUGGCCCUGGCUCCAUGCCCAGGAGAGCAGCCCCUUUGCCUCCUCCACCCCCCAGCACGACUUGGGGACAGACUAUUACAGCUAUGAGGACCCCUCCACCCCGGAUACCCCAGAGAUGCCUGGCUCCCAGAACCCAUCCCAUCAGCCUUGUGUCUACCACCAUUGCCGCCACCUGCAGACAGCCUGUGCAGAGUUGAGCAAGGAUACUGGUUGCCUGUGCCCUGGGGUGACUGGCCCAGAUGUGCCCCCGGAGCCACCCCAGCUGAGGGCAGUGCAUGUCACUGAGUCUGGGGCCAGCCUGCAUUGGUGUGCCCCCUACUCCACAGUGUGGGAGUACCGACUGAUAUACCAGGCUGAUGGGGGCCACACCAUUGCUGGCCCCAUCUUCAACAGCACUUUCCGGAUGGCAGUGCUUGGGGGGCUGCACCCCAGCACCUCCUACCUGGUAUGUGUCAUGGCAGCCAACCAGGCUGGUGCCAGCCCCACUGAUGAUGGGAGUCGGGCCCAUGGACCGUGCCGCACCAUCCGCACCCUGGCCCCCCAACUUCCCUACGCAUAUGUGGCAGCAGGACUGGCGGCCAUGUUCGGCCUGGUGGUGGUGUCCGCGCUGACCUGGCACUUUGCCCUGCGCUCGAGGAGACGGCAGUUCCACGGCUCCCAGGACAACAUCCUGGAUGGGGAGCUCCUCUCAGUUGCAUGGAACAGUGAAUCAUCAUGGUACCCCCCAGCGGCGCUCUUCCCCCCACUUCCUGGACAGUCUGUCUGGACCCAGCUCUGCUGGGGUUUGCGCUCACAGCCGCACCCAGCAGUGUCACCCUUGAACCACUGCCUGGAAAACAUGAUCCAUCCCAGAUGUGUGUGAGAGGGCCCCAGCGCAGAAGGCAAUGGGAAUGAGGAGCAGCCCCCGCCCUCCUCGCUCUGGGGGUUCUUGAGGAACGGCCCAGCUCUGUAUGCUGACUGCUGGGGAAGCCGUGGUGCCCAGGAUGAAUGGGCUGCUCUGGUCCAGGCUGGUUCCGAGCUGUUAUCCCCCCUUCUCCUGCUGGGUCCGGCAUCACCAUGGCUGCCCCAUGCCUCCCAGUGCGGAUCAUCUUCUGGUAAGUGGCAGAGAUACCCCCACUGGUACCCCCUACCCAGGGCACCCCCCACCCAGCACCGCCCCAUGGGCAUUCCUCACCCAGCAUUGCCGCCCAAGGGCACCCCUCACCCAGCUCUGCCCCCCAUGGGCACCCCUCACCCAGCUACACCCCCAUGGGCACACCCCAUACAACUCCACCCCCAUGGGGACCCCUCACUCAGCACCACCCCCAUGGGCACUCCUCACCCAGUAUUGCCCCCCAGGAAACCCCUCACCCAGCUACACCCCCCAUUGGCAUACCCCAUAUAGCUCCACCCCUGUGGGCACCCCUCACCCAGCACCACCCCUGUGGGCACCCCUCACCCAGCUAUACGCCCCAUGGGUACUCCUCAUCCAGCAAUGCCCCCAUGGGCACACCCCAUACAGCUCCACCCCCCAUGGGCACCCCUCACCCAGCAAUGCCCCCAUGGGCACACCCCAUACAGCUCCUCCCCCCAUGGGCACCCCUCGCCCAGCUACACCUCCCCAUGGGUACUCCUCACCCAGCACUGCCCCCAUGGGCACACCCCAUACAGCUCUGCAUCCCCAUGGGCACCCCUUACCUAGGACUGCCCCUUCCUUGGGCACCUCCUACCCACAACUGCCCCCCUAAGGGCACAGCCCACCCUAGGCACUGGGUCCCUCCCUCAGCCUCCCUUCUCACCCUCCCAAUUCUGACACCCCUGGCACUGGGCCUCUGCCCAAGCUUCAGCCUUCCUGCCCACACUGGUUCCCUUUCAGCAUGGGGCUGCUCCACACUGAUGCUGGGCUCUGUUUCCCUUGUAGUGGCAGCUGAGGAUACAGAAGCCGGUUCCUGCAGCUGCAGGAGUUCCUAGAAAAACGCUUCCCAAAGCAGUUGGAGAUUACAGGGGAAAUGGCCCCCGGCUCUGGGGCCUUCGAGAUUCUUCUCCCUGACAGUGGCCAGGUCCUGCACUCCAAGAUCAACGGUGAUGGCUAUGUGGACAGUAACGCCAAGGUGCAGCGCAUCUGUGAAGGCAUCAGCAAGGUCCUGGAACAGUAGCGAGCAGGGAUUGGGGUGCUGUGGUUUCCAGGGCAGCACAUGACGGGAUCAGCCGAAAGGGAGUCACAGCCCAGGCCAGUCCCUGACCUCCCCCCGAUGCUCCAACCCCUGUGGCUAUCGCCAAGCAAUAAAGAGCAACA
This is an RNA transcript of Malaclemys terrapin pileata, 2573 nucleotides long. It is a transcript of the gene named LRRN4 C-terminal like, with no coding region annotated. The record is from RefSeq and is a predicted model, not a curated record. NCBI's taxonomy places the organism in Eukaryota, Metazoa, Chordata, Testudines, Emydidae. The transcript has 8 exons.